RNAcentral lists this ribosomal RNA (484 nucleotides) under uncultured bacterium. Its description in RNAcentral is "partial 16S ribosomal RNA". It matches the Rfam family "Bacterial small subunit ribosomal RNA", at positions 30 to 507 of the family's 1533-position model. The record is from RNAcentral.
AUUGAACGCUGGCGGCAGGCCUAACACAUGCAAGUCGAGCGGUAGAGCGAAGCUUGCUUCUCUUGCGCGCGGCGGACGGGUGAGUAAUGCCUAGGAAUCUGCCUGGCAGUGGGGGAUAACGUUCGGAAACGGACGCUAAUACCGCAUACGUCCUACUGGAGAAAGCAGGGGACCUUCGGGCCUUGCGCUAUCAGAUGAGCCUAGGUCGGAUUAGAUAGGUGGUGGGGUAAUGGCUCACCAAGGCGACGAUCCGUAACUGGUCUGAGAGGAUGAUCAGUCACACUGGAACUGAGACACGGUCCAGACUCCUACGGGAGGCAGCAGUGGGGAAUAUUGGACAAUGGGCGAAAGCCUGAUCCAGCCAUGCCGCGUGUGUGAAGAAGGUCUUCGGAUUGUAAAGCACUUUAAGUUGGGAGGAAGGGCAGUAAAUUAAUACUUUGCUGUUUUGACGGUACCGACAGAAUAAGCACCGGCUAACUAUGUG